RNA transcript from Dendroctonus ponderosae (mountain pine beetle), 4694 nucleotides. It is a transcript of the gene named arginine-glutamic acid dipeptide repeats protein, with no coding region annotated. The transcript is spliced from 10 exons. NCBI's taxonomy places the organism in Eukaryota, Metazoa, Arthropoda, Insecta, Coleoptera, Curculionidae. The record is from RefSeq and is a predicted model, not a curated record.
UGAUCUGUGUCGUACACUUCACCUAGUUGUCUUCAUCUAUGCACUUCACUUGCUUUGAAUGCCUAUAUUUUCUGGAGAAUCGAGUUUGUGUUAGAAUAUAGAAUAAUUAACCGAUGAAUAGUUUCUGUGAAAAACGGGCGUAAUCGUAAUGCAAUCGCAGUCGAAGUUCUCUGAAUAAGGCUUUUGAUUUCCAUUCAGAGUCAGUGUCAGUGUGGACAUUAGGUGCUGGGAAUACGAAUCGAAAUUAUAUUACGUUUUGCUCUUUCGUACAGUUUUCGAAGCAUAAUGUCAUAGCAAUAAGCUAUUGAGGGAAACUGAUGUGCAUCAAAACAGUUAUAGCAUUUUAUUAUGUUCCUGAAUGCAGCAGACAAAAUUGGCUUGUGACAUCAAUGUGUUCCUGAAAUGGUGUGUAAAGAAGAUAUAUUGACAUGGUUUCAGGACUUGGAAAGUUAUAAAAGGAUAGAUAUGUUAUGUGAACUGAUAAAUAUGUGUUUACCGUUUGAGUUGAGAUUCGUAGGCAGUUUCCUGGAAGAAACCGGGAAGCAUAGCUAUCAAGCGUUACGGCAACGAGCUUUAGCUGCAAAUGAUUACGAGAAGCUCGAGAAGGACACUAGUUUAAAGGAUCGCACUCUUUAUGAGGAAAAUAUACGGCAUUUGAUGCUGAUAAAUGUCUCUUUGCUGAAAUCGAGAAAUUACAAUGUGGCUAAUUGGUAUUCGAAAAAUUUCUUAAGGACAGACUAUAUUGAAGAACUAGUUGUGAAAGAAAAAAACGAAAUAGUGCAAAAUGAACUAUUGCUGUUGUAUACGAUGGCAACUAGACAUCCUGCGUUUAGUUUUGAUCAAAAACAGUUUUACAAUCGUAUACUAGUGCGGCUGUAUGAAUUACGGGAUAGCAGAUCUAAUAAGUCUUGUACUUACAGAUACCCCCCGGGAUUUGAGUAUCCAAGCUUUUACAGGAAUAACAAGGUUUAUGAAAACACUCAAGUACCGGUCGCAAUACCUAUGCAUCCUCCUGGACUUCCACAUCAACUAGAUAAUAUUGGUAAUCUUAGGGUAGGAUGGCAUGGUUUGACCUGCGGAGCACCUGCAGAGGUACCGCCGUUUUCAUCUCAACAUCCUCUUCAACCUCCUCAACCCACCGCGUCUCCACUAGUCAAUUCACCGAGUCAGUCGCGCUGCGGUUCACCCCGCCCUCUUACUAGGGCUCCACCGUUCCCAAUGGUAGCAUCGACUACACAGAUAGUGUCCAUACCAUCCGGAAACCACCCCAGUGUUGGGACACCGUCCGGGCUUCCAUCAACCAUAACUUCUCAAUUGCCAUCGGUUAUACCAGUGGCUUCUGUACUGCCAGGAAUGCCAAUUUCAAUAGAAUCUUUAGGUCCGCCCCCUCCAAUGGGACAUUCAGAUCAUCCCUCUCCGGUCUAUGGAAUGGUUAAAUCGAGCAACCAACUGCACGAAACCGAAGAGCUCAACCCCGUUUUAAUCGAAGAUUCGUUGCAAAAACAUCCACCUCCUCUUUCGCUGAAUCCGUGGAUGACUAACGCCAACAUUAACUCGGAGGGGAAGCAAAUUAAUGGAUUGCGGAUAGCUUCCAAUUACCCUACCUCUACGAAUAUGCGUAGUUCGAUUGCAGAUCAACUGCAUUCAAUGUCGUUGACAGACGAAAGUUCGCAUUAUCAUUCGUCCAGUAGCAGUAGUCCUCUUCAAACACCUCCUGAUACCCCUUCCAACAUAGCGCCAGCAUCUACCACAUCAACUCAGUCUAAUCGAGGGCCUAUUGAUAAAUGUCGUAUGAACGGAGUGCCAAACUUUUUAACUCCAUUUGGAGAUACGACGUCGCCGCCACCGCCACAUGGAUUUACUUAUCCUGCGUAUGCCCCAAUUGCUCAUGCAAGUGACCUUCCUUACAGGUUCUAUGCAUCUCCUAAUUUUCGACCGCCAACAACGGUAUUCAACCAGUUCCAGACUGCCACUAACCAACCUUUCCAGGGGGCUCAACCCACUGGCAGCGAAACUAUUCCUCCAUCAUACUCCUACACCAUACCUUAUAUCUCUUUAAUGUAUUCGAGUUACCCCCAUCCACCCCAGGUUCCUCAACCACCAACUAAUACGAUACCUUUGAGGAACCAACCGCCUGGGUGUUACAAUUGUGGUGCUACGGGUCAUCUGGGCCAAGAUUGUCCCGAACGGAACAUCGACGAUAUCACCCAGAAAAAUACAUAUAGCCGGUAGAAGAGCAAGAGGCUGCAUUUAGUUCUUUAGCUUAUAUAUUAUUUUUAAAGUAAUGUUUUCGGGUUAGUGCUUAGUGGUCCCGUACAGCAUUUUGACAAAAUUUACCUUAGAUUAUUACUUUGUUUAGUAGUUUGUAUUAAAAUUAAUUAUUGAAACUGGACACGCUUUUCAAAGUUGAAAUACUGGUUGGCCCUGUGCGUCUCACUAAUUAAUUCUUUUUGCUGGAAAUGAUAACCUGAAGAACUUUUCUCAAAUGUGUGCUGGUCGUGCUAUUCAAUAUACAGGGUGAUGGAACAAAUAGGGUUUAGAUGUUUUGUUUGCUAGCUCAGAACACCUCAGAAGCAAUUUCCGGAUGGGUUUAUGGUAACAAAAUGUAUUGGGUGUAAAAAGGUGAAUUAGUGCUUGGAAACACUUUUCGUGAAGAGGCAACUAAUGAUUCGAUUACUAUCUAGAAUAAUUAUAAUUAAGCACACAAAAAUAGCCAAUAUAGUUAGACUGUCGGCCAAGCUAACAUUAUUACUAUACGUAAAACAACGUGUAAAACAACGUCUGAUCGGAUAUGAACUGAACAGAUUUACUUAAUAAAUUCGAAUAAAAUUUUACAUUUGAACCGCAAAAAAUCAUAUAGUUUUAUGUAGCUAGCAAUUAAUUGAAUAAAAUCCGUAACGUGAAAUAAUUCAUUGAGAUUGCAAAAAUUACGCAAGAAGCAAGUAAGCACUGACCCUGCCGUUUAUGUACACCUUCAAAUACAGUAAAAAAAAGUUUUGUUUAGUCAUACAUUUAAAUUAGCAGUGCAAACAAAACAUGCAAAUCCGUUCGUUCAUUUUGCAAGGAAACUGAAAUCAUCACCAUAAUGAUAUCUUAUUCUCACAUUAAUCGGGCAAGUUAUUAUUUAUUGUUUCGUUAUUCAGUACAUCGAUUUUAGUCCAGUUAACUCGGAUAACGAGAAAUGAAAAAGGGAGUACAAACCCCAUAAAUAGAAGGAAUGUGCACAUAGACCAGUGUAAAUAAUACCUGAGAAGGUGAGAUAGACUGUUCGCAUAAGAUUUGAAAUUUUAUUAAUUUUAAUUGUCUAUGACCAAAUGUGGUUAAUUCAUGUGGAAGGAAGCAGGUUGGAGGGUGAGAAUAUAUGGUUUUCUCGGUUGGCUGUGAAUUCAAUUGGAUUGAAUGAUUUUCGACUACAUGCAAAAUUCAACUGUCUGGAAUAAUCAGUAUUACUUUUUCAGUUGUUCGGCUUGCAUAUAUUAAGUACGUGAAUUGGGAAUGUUAUCGAAAUGUUUCAUCACGAUACAUAUCGUAUGUUACAGUUAAAGUAAUAUUUAUGAGCUAAAGAUCUAAUUGAAGCUUCCGAUCCAAUAUAAGCAACAGAAUAAUUAUACCUACUUUGCAUUAUUGUUAAAAUAAAUACAGCUUAAAUUUUAAAUAUGACAUUUAAGACAGCCAUAUCACAUACAUGUUUUAAAGAAUUGUAAUCUUGUUUGUUGGUAUGUAUCUAUUCGUUCAUUACGCAUCUGCAAAAAUCAGUUUCUUGGGCGCAAAACAUUUCUUGUCGUUAUGUAUGCUCACAGACGAAAAUACUACUUUUGUUCACGCGAACGAAACUAUAUAUGUAUAAUAUUAAACGCUGUGAAAGUUAAAGGGCACUUUUUAAGAAAUGAUUCCUUUCCGAAUUGAUAAUAUGUACUUUAUUGUAUGUUAACCUUUUUUUGUGGUAAAUUUAAUAUAAAGGGGCGUUCAAGUCGAUUUUGACAUGUUUGUAGCCAAUCAGUUGAAUUUGUUGUGAAAACGGGGGAAAACUAAAUAAUUUUAUCCUUUCCAAUUAACUUUUUAAUCUCUUUUAUACUUAAUCAAUGUUGAUAAAAUAAAUUAUUACAUUUAUUAUAUAGUUUCUUUAACCUCGCUUAUGCUCUUAUCUGACACAAACCUUAUGGCAGUUUCGCGUUAAAGCGUAAGAAUUUUUUCUGUAAUUCGUAUCUUUUGAGAGAGCAAUAAAGGGAUUUAUUUACUUGCCACAUUUAGUCAUUUUUUAUUGCUCUUGUGGCGUAAACAGUAAAUGAACUAUAUUUAAUUUUUAAUGAGUUGCACUUUAAAUGGUUGCAAUGAUUGCUAAUGUUAUUAAUAAGUACAUAUGAACAAAAAAGAAAAUGGAAAUAACAUUUCUGAUUCAAUACUGACCGAAAAAGUCAUUGUUUUCGCCCCAAGCAUCGAGUUGGCAAUAAAAAUGGAUUUUACCACAGGCUCCCUGUACUAUAGAGUAAAAACCCUUUUUUAUUUAUUGCUGUGAUUGGGGAGCAUAAUCUGUUUUUAAUUGAUGUCCAGCUUUAAUUAGUGUCUAUUUAAUAUAUGUUUUCGAUAAUGUCGUUCAGUUUUAGUCGAUUCAAUGAACUAAUGAUUUGAAACUGAUUGGUUAGUUUUAAAUGAUGGUGAAAAUUGUUUGUCAUUAAAGAUAAUUGUAUUUGUUA